CGGCUAGCUCGUCGUCUCCUGUUGGACAAGCCCAAGCCAUCCAGUAGUUGCUGAGUACCUGCAACACUUGGAAUGAUGAUUGUGCAAGAAUAAUGAUUGGAACUAAUGCACCGCCUUUCACAGCGGUCAAGUAAGAAGAAAUUCUACCAACAGAAACUUUUCCCUGUGCAAUCGCAUUAAGCAAAUCAGGCAGAUUGAAAAUGGGAUCUUGAAGCAUUCUGAACGUAGCCAAAGCUGACAACACUCUUCCAGCAGUGAGUGGAAUUCCCAUCAAUACACAUCCACCAAAAGUGAUGACCGAGAUAAAAGUUGGCGAACCCCAGUAGAUAAAUGUAGUUAAUGCAGUCAUUCUAAGUGACUUCCAUAGCCAGUUAUGCUCUAUCUUUCUCAAGUCAAUAAGCUUCAGAAGAUAAUGACUGUCCCAUGCUUGCAGUUUGAGAGUCUUCAUGUUUCUAAGAACUUCUGAUGUGGAUUUCAUGCGGUUGUCUUUGGCAUCCAUGAUCUUCGUUUGGUAUCGCUUCUGGAUUCUUGUCAAUGGGAUGUUGCCAGCCAUCACUAUCAGAGUUGUAGCCAACCCGACUAGAGCACCAUUACCAAGAUUUUUGUGGAGAAUGAAGAUUGCUAGGGAGAUUUGUACUGGCAGCAUCCAUAAUGUAUUUAAGAACCAUAUGAAGUCUGUGAUCCUUUGUACAUCAACGCUCAUUAAAUUGAUGAUCUCUCCACUGCUUCGGCUCUGACGUGACUGGCUUGACAAGAUGAGCCCCUUUUUGUAUAUCUGAGAGAUCAAAGCAGCUCUCAGGCGAAGGCCAAGCUGCCGAGCUCCGAAAAUCCACUGCCUCUGUGCUAUAGUCUCCACCAGUUUCGCCCCGAGGAAUCCUAACACAAGUAGAUAUCCACUUUUAAGACUCCUAAAUCUCUUCUCAUUUAGGAAUUCUACAAAGUAAUUGAUAAGGUAAGGUCCUACAUAAGAUGCUCCUGCACCAGUGAUGGCGUAAAGUGCAUUCAUAGUUGCUUUCUUCCUUGCAAAAAUGUACAUUGCCUUGUAGAGAGAUGGUAUAUCACUCCCAUCUCUUUCCUUUAUGUGCUUGAGGCAUUGAUCGAAGUCCUGAGAUAGAAAAACUGCAGAAUCCUUGGUGUCAACAUCCGGGACUUCAUCUUGGUCGAGUGGCUUCUUGAAUCCAAACUCAAACAGCAGGUUAAGCCAAGAGAAGGUGACAAGCUGGAUGAAGGUGGCUUUUCCAUAAGGAUUUUCUCUCUUCACUUUUGAACUCUUAUCUCUUAUCCCAUUCAGAAGGGGAGCAACAAUGUCGUCCUCUGUUGUUGUAAGAGUUACGGCUGCCUUACCUCGGAUGGAUAGAAUAAGAAGACAGAAAGAAGCUGCAAGAUUGAUCAUAUCAUCAUAUUCUUGCAACCCAAGUUGAUCAUGGUUUGUUACCAGGAAAUGAGCAUCAAUCAUCGCCCGAGCAAAACAUAAAAGAAAGCUAGAUGUCCACCAGAAUCUCAAGAUCAAUGGAAACUUGACAUGAUUCCUGCUUCGAAUUUUGUAAAGGACAAUCAGUGUGAUUGUCCAUGAUAUCACCUGCAUCAACCUUGAUGAAAGAACUGUGACUUCGGAUCCACACCCGCUGUGUUGCCAUGGCAGCAACGUCACAACUUGAGUAAUGAGCAUUAAGAUGGCACAGAUGACGCUGAUUCUGUAGGAGAGCCCAUAUUUUAUAUCUGUCGGGAAAGCAACAAAAUCACCAAGAAAACGAGUUGCAUGAUCAUACUGGCAUCUUCCCAGUGGCAGGGGGAGAUCAUCUCUGGCCACUCUACUUCCAAUUGGAGAAACCUUAAAUCUGUCGGAGAUCGUCAGCGAAAAGGAGGUUAUCAACCCAUGAAAAUCAAGCAGAUGAAUCAGUGUGUGUGAGAGAGGGUGAAAGUAAAAACAAAGUGCAAAGCAAACCGGCUCCCUUGAUCGUAAGGUCUAGAGACGUGAAUGAUGAUCGAUUUGUAAUCAGCAAAGACAGUGAAUUAGGAGAGAAGACAAAACAAAACAACGCUAGACGUAACAAAAGGUAUGUAGCAUAUUAUUUCUCCAAGUAUACGUGUUUCCCCUAAGAAUAUAAGUAUACUAGUACUACUUAAUUGUAUGUCUGCUGCGACUGCUAUUGUCUUCAUAAAUCACGUGAGGACGUUUCAGAAAGCCUUUCCUUUCCA
Salvia splendens (bonfire salvia) is the source of this 2199-nucleotide long non-coding RNA. RefSeq lists it as uncharacterized. The transcript has 4 exons. The record is from RefSeq and is a predicted model, not a curated record. Lineage: Eukaryota; Viridiplantae; Streptophyta; Magnoliopsida; Lamiales; Lamiaceae.